This 460-nucleotide ribosomal RNA is filed under the name uncultured bacterium. Its description in RNAcentral is "partial 16S ribosomal RNA". It matches the Rfam family "Bacterial small subunit ribosomal RNA", at positions 338 to 795 of the family's 1533-position model. The record is from RNAcentral.
CCUACGGGCGACAGCAGUGAGGAAUAUUGGUCAAUGGUCGUAAGACUGAACCAGCCAAGUAGCGUGCAGGAUGACGGCCCUAUGGGUUGUAAACUGCUUUUAUGCGGGGAUAAAAUCCGUCACGUGUGAUUGUUUGUAGGUACCGCAUGAAUAAGGACCGGCUAAUUCCGUGCCAGCAGCCGCGGUAAUACGGAGGGUCCGGGCGUUAUCCGGAUUUAUUGGGUUUAAAGGGUGCGUAGGCGGCCGGUUAAGCGUGCCGUGAAAUUCCGUGGCUCAACCAUGGCACUGCGGCGCGAACUGGUCUGCUUGAGUGCGCGGAAGGUAGGCGGAAUGCGUGGUGUAGCGGUGAAAUGCUUAGAGAUCACGCAGAACUCCGAUUGCGAAGGCAGCAUACGGAAGUGCUACUGACGCUGAAGCUCGAAGGCGUGGGUAGCGAACAGGAUUAGAUACCCGAGUAGUC